CCUACGGUGAGCAGCAGUGAGGAAUAUUGGUCAAUGGGCUGAAGCCUGAACCAGCCAAGUAGCGUGCAGGAUGAAGGCCCUACGGGUCGUAAACCGCUUUUUCACGGGGAUAACACCCUCCACUUUUGGCAGUCUUCCGGUACCGUGCGAAUAAGGGCCGACUAAUUCCGUGCCAGCAGCCGCGGUAAUACGGAAUGCCCGAGCGUUAUCCGGAUUCAUUGGGCUAAAAGGGAGCGUAGGCGGGCGUUCAAGGCAGCUGUAAAAUCGCGCGGCUCAACCGCGCCCCGCAGUUGAACCUGGACUCCUUGAGUGCACAAUAGGCAGGCGGAAUUCGUGGUGUAGCGGUGAAAUGCAUAGAGAUCACGAGGAACCCCGAUUGCGAAGGCAGCCUGCCGGGGUGCGACUGACGCUGAGGCUCGAAGGUGCGGGUAUCAAACAGGAUUAGAUACCCUUGUAGUC
RNAcentral lists this ribosomal RNA (459 nucleotides) under uncultured bacterium. RNAcentral's name for it is "partial 16S ribosomal RNA". It matches the Rfam family "Bacterial small subunit ribosomal RNA", at positions 338 to 795 of the family's 1533-position model. The record is from RNAcentral.